This 148-nucleotide ribosomal RNA is filed under the name uncultured eukaryote. Its description in RNAcentral is "partial 18S ribosomal RNA". The record is from RNAcentral.
AUCAUUAGACAAGUAAUCUCGGAUCGAAUUCUCAGAACGCACAGGCGCUGGACUAUUCGUCAGGCACACGCUAGGAUAAGAAACAUUUAGACAGCAUGCGACUUGUCAUAGCCAUGCCGGUUUACGAGGACUGGGAAUCCGCUGCUCU